RNAcentral lists this ribosomal RNA (237 nucleotides) under uncultured bacterium. Its description in RNAcentral is "partial 16S ribosomal RNA". It matches the Rfam family "Bacterial small subunit ribosomal RNA", at positions 524 to 758 of the family's 1533-position model. The record is from RNAcentral.
UACGGGGGGGGGCAAGCGUUGUUCGGAAUUACUGGGCGUAAAGGGCUCGUAGGCGGCCAACUAAGUCGGAUGUGAAAUCCCCAAGCUUAACUUGGGAACUGCAUCCGAUACUGGAUGGCUUGAAUCCGGGAGAGGGAUGCAGAAUUCCAGGUGUAGCGGUGAAAUGCGUAGAUAUCUGGAGGAAUACCGGUGGCGGAAGGCGGCAUCCUGGACCGGCAUUGACGCUGAGGAGCGAAA